AGAUUGAACGCUGGCGGCAUGCCUUACACAUGCAAGUCGAACGGUAGAGUAGCAAUACUCGAGAGUGGCGAACGGGUGAGUAAUAUAUCGGAACGUGCCCAGUCGUGGGGGAUAACGUAGAGAAAUUUACGCUAAUACCGCAUACGAUCUAAGGAUGAAAGCGGGGGACUCGCAAGAGCCUCGCGCGAUUGGGAGCGGCUGAUAUCAGAUUAGGUUGUUGGUGAGGUAAAAGCUCACCAAGCCGACGAUCUGUAGCUGGUUGAGAGAACGACCAGCCACACGUGGGACUGAGACCGACGGCCCGAGACUCCGUACGGGAGGCAGCAGUAGGGAAUUUUGGACUAAGUGGGACGGAAA
RNAcentral lists this ribosomal RNA (357 nucleotides) under uncultured soil bacterium. RNAcentral's name for it is "bacterial SSU rRNA". It matches the Rfam family "Bacterial small subunit ribosomal RNA", at positions 26 to 380 of the family's 1533-position model. The record is from RNAcentral.